Molecule: non-coding RNA, 217 nt
Filed under: Pontibacillus litoralis
Lineage: Bacteria; Bacillati; Bacillota; Bacilli; Caryophanales; Bacillaceae
Description: T-box sequence
Rfam family: T-box leader
About the family: Uncharged tRNA acts as the effector for transcription antitermination of genes in the T-box leader family. T-boxes are found upstream of many aminoacyl-tRNA synthetase genes and some amino acid biosynthetic genes usually in Gram-positive bacteria. The anticodon of a specific tRNA base pairs to a specifier sequence within the T-box motif, and the NCCA acceptor tail of the tRNA base pairs to a conserved bulge in the T-box antiterminator hairpin.
Source: RNAcentral
UUUACGUCAAUGACAAAGAGAGUAAUUAUUUGUUAGAUUAAAGCGAUCUAGGGAUGGUGAGAGCCUAGAAUUGAGCAAAUAAUGAAGCGCACUUUGGAGAUACAUUCCUGAAUUUAGUAGGGAGUGUCGGGGGUAGCCUCGUUAUCAAUUAAAGUGGUUUUACCAAUGGUAGAACAAUUAGAGUGGUACCACGGGAUAUUCAGCUCUCGUCUCUUCU